GACUGUUUGUAUCCCUUUUUUUUCAAUUUGGUCUUCCCUCAUUGUCCAAUAAACAAUGUUCAUUCCCACUAGCAACCCAAUCCGUCUUCUGUCUUCCUCUAUGAAUUUAAAUUUUGAGCAUUUAUUAAUUCUGUUACUAAUUAACCUUCCACCUUUCAAUACUCUUAAUUCAAAUUCUGCUCUCUUUUCUAGGGGAGCCUCCUAAUAACACAAAUUUUCAUUCCCAAUUAUGGUGCCUCCAGACCUUUCAUUGAAAUCAUGUUAUCUCCCUCAUCAUCCUCUCCCCUUCCAUCCUCAUCACAGAUUUACCUCCCAUAACCUAUCUUUCACUCACUUGGCUUCUCCACCACUUCGAGUCCCUCCACUGCCGCCGUCAUCAUCCGUCUGCUUCCCCUCCCCCUCUCUGUCGCGUUUGCAGUCCCCCACUCCUGGUGAAACUUCCUCUCUCAAUCCCUAAAUUGCAUUCACGUUCCUACCUCUCUCUGAAGCUUCCCCGUGCCUCUUUGCCCAAGGAAUCAAUUCAACCUUUAAAAACUGGUGCAGCAACGAUCCCUCUCCCCGUAUGUGCUAUCCUCUCUCUUCUCUUUCUGCUUCACUUUUUCUUCUACCUAUUCAAUUGUUUUGUGAAUCCCUUUUCCUUUGGAUUUUUUAUCGACAUUUUUUUUCAAAUUGUUGCAAAUCCCUCUUUGCUCUUUUUCCAAGGAAAGAAAGAAGUGAUUAGAAAUCAACAUGAAUAUGAAGCUUCUGUGAGCAAGGUGAAUUCUGUGAUUCUAAAGACUACUUUAAUCAUAAUUUUCCUUCAUCGCCAAUUUGUUUGUCUUUCCCAAUUUUGCUUCAAAUCACAGAUGAUAUUGUUUUUGCAGCAGUACUUUUAUUUCAUUUUUGUUUUUGUUUUCUCUCAGGGAAUUUGCUUUAGCAUAGCUGAGAGAAGUUGUGGAACAUAUUUGUUUCCUCAAAUCCUGUGUUAGAAGCAUCUUGAUUUUUUUAUUUUGUUUUUUCUAUAAUUUAUUGGCUGGUCCUGUUGAAACAUGUGUUAACAAGGUCUUCUUUGGUGUUGACAGGUCAUGGAGUGCAGCUACUGCUCAGUUUUUUUAAGUUGGAUUCAUUGAUUGCAAUAUUAUAUGUCUCCUUUGAGAUUCUUGAUUUUUUUUAGUUGCAGUGUACAUUUGUCCCUUUGCUUUUUGGUCUGGGAGUAACAACUUCUGUACUUUUUUUUAGUUUGUGAUAUUUAAGAAAGUUUUAUGACUGGUUAUUCUUUUCCCUUCAAUGCUCCCUAUUUUUUUCCCACAUUCUUUAUGACUGAUUAUUGUUUUGACUGAUUAGUUUCAAAUUAGUUGUAAGUUCAUAUUGUUUCUUUUAAGUAUUAUCUCUUAUGGUAACUCAUUUCCUUCAUGAAUUGUCAGGUUGAGCUUUUCUCAAGUCUUUUCCAUGAAUUUUUUUUGGAUUUGUUUAUCUCAUUAGGUUAAUUUUCGUUGGUGGUCUACCAAAUCAUUUUUUGGCUUUUUGUUUUGUGGUCAAAGUAGAUGAGUAAUUUAAUUUCCAACCUCCAUGUUGGAGAGGUUAAAAUUCAAUUGGUUGGUUUAUGUUUCAUAUCGGUUUAAAGGGAUGAUAACGCUCUUGAUUAUACCCUCCAGGUAUAAUGGGGAAAAUGCUCACUGCUCUGAACAUUUUUAGCUUAAUUGCUGCAAAAGGGUUACCCUGUUCAGUUUUCAAGGUUGUUAGAUAUGAGAAAGAUAAAGAAAACACUUAGUGGACUGAUUAGUAGUCUCAGUUAUGCAAAUAAGCUGCAAUAAAUUCCUGUUAGUUGACUCUUGAUUAUUUUCUUGAAAUGAUUAGUAUGUAAACAAUGUGUAGAAAAUUAAUUUGUUUUCUUCUAAUCCUCUUUGAUUUGAAUGGUUUGCAGGUUUAUAAUGUAAUCCAUAUUGCAGAAGAAAAAUUGAUUGGCAUUGCUCAAUGGGUCUUUUAGCAGCAAAAUAGUUGAACGAGAGGAGAGUUUGAACAUUGUCGGAUACCUCAAAUUUUGAACACUGUCACAUUGUCAUUUGUUUCAAUUGGCAAUGCUUAAGUAGAUCCUCCAAUGGGAUUUUGAGGGGUUUAUUGUUAUUUCUUCAAAUUUUGAACACUGUCACACUGUCACAUUGUCAUUUGUUUCCUAUUUGCUACUGAAUGUGACAUUUUUUUGGUGUUGAUGCAGGACUUUUGAUAACAAGAUUGUUUUUAAUUUAUGGGUUCUGUUAUUGGCCUUAAUCCAGAAGGUCUUCUUAUUGGAAACUAUAUUCAUGGGGGAAGAUUAAAAACCGUCAUCCAAUAAGAUUGGCUAUUUGAGAAGACUUUCAUUGUUAAGCUACACAGUGAUGACUCAUCAUCCAAACCUGCAUGCUUGGACAGGUAUUAUGGGGAAAAUGCUCACUGCUCUGAACCCUGUUCUGCUUAGAGAAAUUCUCUAAAUGGAAAUAGGGAGUCUUGCUAUUCAACUCAGCCUAUUGAUGGAAUUGGUACAUUAAAUGUUUCUGUAAUUGAAACCUUUAUGAAGGAGGUGAAAUUGGGACAAUAUUGGCUUUCAUAUUCUGUAGUUCCUAUAAGGGAACCACAAAGCAGGGCAGGUUUUGGAAUUCUUUGCUGCAUCAUUUUCUUUGUCGUGUGGCAUUCUACUGAGUUGGUCCUGUUAUUUGCUAUCUGAAUUGUUGAUUUUCACAGUGGGGGGCUAUGUUUUUAAAUUACUAUGUUUUUUAAUUACUUCAUAUUAGUUUUCCUUUGUUUUAGUCUCUUUGGGGCUGUAGCGUAUGACAAAUUAUUGGCUUGAUUUCCUCAUGUAAUUAUGGUUCUAUAUUUAGAACCAUUUGUAUCACAGAUUUCCUACAUAGAUAUCUACUAAUUAAUGAGAUUGUGAUGAAGAGAAGGUUGGAAAGAUUGUUAACACUCCUACUAGGUGUGUUAUUUUAACAAGAAAAAAUAAAUUUUCAUUCAGUUUAA
Lotus japonicus is the source of this 2973-nucleotide long non-coding RNA. RefSeq lists it as uncharacterized. Lineage: Eukaryota; Viridiplantae; Streptophyta; Magnoliopsida; Fabales; Fabaceae. The transcript has 5 exons. The record is from RefSeq and is a predicted model, not a curated record.